AUUGAACGCUGGCGGCAUGCCUUACACAUGCAAGUCGAACGGCAGCACGGGUGCUUGCACCUGGUGGCGAGUGGCGAACGGGUGAGUAAUACAUCGGAACGUACCUUAUCGUGGGGGAUAACGCAGCGAAAGCUGUGCUAAUACCGCAUCCGCCCUGAGGGGGAAAGCGGGGGAUCGCAAGACCUCGCGCGAUUAGAGCGGCCGAUGCCUGAUUAGCUUGUUGGUGGGGUAAAAGCCCACCAAGGCGACGAUCAGUAGCUGGUCUGAGAGGACGAUCAGCCACACUGGGACUGAGACACGGCCCAGACUCCUACGGGAGGCAGCAGUGGGGAAUUUUGGACAAUGGGGGCAACCCUGAUCCAGCAAUGCCGCGUGAGUGAAGAAGGCCUUCGGGUUGUAAAGCUCUUUUGUCAGGGAAGAAACAGCAGCUCUAACACAGUUUGCGAAUGACGGUACCUGAAGAAUAAGCACCGGCUAACUACGUGCCAGCAGCCGCGGUAA
Molecule: ribosomal RNA, 501 nt
Filed under: uncultured bacterium
Lineage: Bacteria
Description: partial 16S ribosomal RNA
Rfam family: Bacterial small subunit ribosomal RNA
Source: RNAcentral